GUCACCAACAAGAAACUUCUGGAGAGGCAGCUAAGACAUGGUCGACUUGGAAAGAUCAAUAUCUCAUUGUCGGCACUGGGUCAAGCUGUCGUAGCCCCACAGGUGUGCAGUAAACCCAGAGAAACCACAGAAACGGUGUUGAACCCAGCACCUUCAAUGUCUGGUGACACUGUCCCUACAGAUCCUCAGGAAGGAGUUGACAACAAGAAAGCCAAUAGAAGGUCAACAGAUGCAACUUUUCCUGACCUGUGUGGACCACCGUGCGAAGCUCUGACAAAGCCUGAGAACAUUUUGGCCAGCCGUUCAUCGUGGUGUUUUGUACCGCACCCUGGCCAACAA
Nothobranchius furzeri (turquoise killifish) is the source of this 339-nucleotide non-coding RNA. Lineage: Eukaryota; Metazoa; Chordata; Actinopteri; Cyprinodontiformes; Nothobranchiidae. The record is from RefSeq and is a predicted model, not a curated record.